CCUACGGGAGGCAGCAGUGGGGAAUAUUGCACAAUGGGGGGAACCCUGAUGCAGCGACGCCGCGUGAGUGAAGAAGUAUUUCGGUAUGUAAAGCUCCAUCAGCAGGGAAGAAAAUGACGGUACCUGAUUAAGAAGCCCCGGCUAACUACGUGCCAGCAGCCGCGGUAACACGGAGGGGGCAAGCGUUAUCCGGAUUUACCGGGUGUAAAGGGGGCGUAGACGGCAGCGCAAGUCUGAAGUGAAAUGCCGGGGCUUAACCCCGGAACUGCUGUGGAAACUGGGCAGCUAGAGUGCAGGAGAGGUAAGUGGAAUUCCUAGUGUAGCGGUGAAAUGCGUAGAUAUUAGGAGGAACACCAGUGGCGAAGGCAGCUUACUGGAGCGUAACUGACGUUGAGGCUCGAAAGCGUGGGGAGCGAACAGGAUUAGAUACCCCAGUAGUC
Molecule: ribosomal RNA, 440 nt
Filed under: uncultured bacterium
Lineage: Bacteria
Description: partial 16S ribosomal RNA
Rfam family: Bacterial small subunit ribosomal RNA
Source: RNAcentral